AAAACCCAACUCCUUCAGUUUCUGUCCUUAUUUUUCACUAGAUAAUUGGCUUCGUCCAUACCUCCUAAUCUGAGAGGGAUCAGCUUAUCUUCUUCUACUUAUCUGCUUUUACAUGUAUUCUGCUUAUCAUAGAAGAAAAAGGAAAGCUGUAAAUUAUUACAUAUUUAAGAUGUUAAUGCCAGUAAUCAACUAUAAAGUAAAACCCAAGCCAUUGUUCCGAUCUAUCAUUGCUUUGGAUUCUCUGCUAUUAUACAAGUUGGUCUUGGUAGCUGAGAAAAGGGUUGUGUCAGGAAGACUCCAGGUUCAUAAAAUAUCUAGUGGUUUAGGCAGGAUUAGAUAACCCUUUAUCUUAUGGUGCAUAUUAAGAAGCACAACUACUUUCUUUGUUUGAUUUCCAGUUUGUAGCUGCAUUCUUCAGUUUCCUGAGAUGUUUAUCUGCCAAUGUUAAUCACUUUUGAAUAGAAUGUGAUCUAUUUUUGUUCUUCAUUUUCCUCCCACCCUCAUAUAUAUGUGUUGUGUCACCUAUUGUGGUCUUCCUGCUCUCUGCUUAACAAUUUGUGGUAUUAGUUUCUAGAAAUGGGAUUGACCGCUCUAUGAUUUCAGUUUCUAGAAAUGGGAUUGACCGCUCUAUGAUUUCAGCCAUAAAGGUUUUCUGCAAAAAUAUGUCAAGCGUUUAAAAGAGAUGAAGUUCGUAAGAGAAGAUUUGGUUUUCAGUACCCACAGUGAGGAGGU
Molecule: long non-coding RNA, 732 nt
Filed under: Theobroma cacao (cacao)
Lineage: Eukaryota; Viridiplantae; Streptophyta; Magnoliopsida; Malvales; Malvaceae
Description: long non-coding RNA (TCAC_LNC001318)
Source: RNAcentral